RNAcentral lists this ribosomal RNA (402 nucleotides) under uncultured bacterium. RNAcentral describes it as "bacterial SSU rRNA". It matches the Rfam family "Bacterial small subunit ribosomal RNA", at positions 111 to 518 of the family's 1533-position model. The record is from RNAcentral.
UAACACCGUGAGGAACCUGCCGUUACACAGGGGAAUAACACCGUGAAAAACGGUGCUAAUACCGCAGUAACACCGCACUAUGGCAUCAGUAGAACGGUCAAAGGAGAAAUCCCGGUGUAAGAUGGCCUCGGCGCCCGAUUAGUUAGUUGGUGGGGUAAUGGCCUACCAAGACUGCGAUCGGUAGCCGGACUGAGAGGUCGAACGGCCACAUUGGAACUGAGAGACGGUCCAGACUCCUACGGGAGGCAGCAGUGGGGAAUAUUGGGCAAUGGGGGAAACCCUGACCCAGCAACGCCGCGUGAAGGAAGAAGGCCUUCGGGGUUGUAAACUUCUUUGAUCAGGGAAGAAACAAAUGACGGUACCUGAAAAACAAGCCACGGCUAACUACGUGCCAGCAGCUGC